AGUGAACGCUGGCGGUAGGCCUAACACAUGCAAGUCGAACGGCAGCACAGUAAGAGCUUGCUCUUACGGGUGGCGAGUGGCGGACGGGUGAGGAAUACAUCGGAAUCUACUUUUUCGUGGGGGAUAACGUAGGGAAACUUACGCUAAUACCGCAUACGACCUACGGGUGAAAGCAGGGGAUCUUCGGACCUUGCGCGAUUGAAUGAGCCGAUGUCGGAUUAGCUAGUUGGCGGGGUAAAGGCCCACCAAGACGACGAUCCGUAGCUGGUCUGAGAGGAUGAUCAGCCACACUGGAACUGAGACACGGUCCAGACUCCUACGGGAGGCAGCAGUGGGGAAUAUUGGACAAUGGGGGCAAGCCUGAUCCAGCCAUACCGCGUGGGUGAAGGAGGCCUUCGGGUUGUAAAGCCCUUUUGUUGGGAAAGAAAAGCAGCAGGUUAAUACCCCGCUGUUCUGACGGUACCCAAAGAAUAAGCACCGGCUAACUUCGUG
This 492-nucleotide ribosomal RNA is filed under the name uncultured bacterium. RNAcentral's name for it is "partial 16S ribosomal RNA". It matches the Rfam family "Bacterial small subunit ribosomal RNA", at positions 29 to 507 of the family's 1533-position model. The record is from RNAcentral.